Molecule: ribosomal RNA, 253 nt
Filed under: uncultured bacterium
Lineage: Bacteria
Description: partial 16S ribosomal RNA
Rfam family: Bacterial small subunit ribosomal RNA
Source: RNAcentral
UACAGAGGGGGCAAGCGUUGUUCGGAAUUACUGGGCGUAAAGGGCGCGUAGGCGGCCCGCUAAGUCGAACGUGAAAUCCCCGAGCUCAACUCGGGAACUGCGUCCGAUACUGGCGGGCUUGAAUCCGGGAGAGGGAUGCGGAAUUCCAGGUGUAGCGGUGAAAUGCGUAGAUAUCUGGAGGAACACCGGUGGCGAAGGCGGCAUCCUGGACCGACACUGACGCUGAGGCGCGAAAGCUAGGGUAGCAAACGGG